CCCUUAGAUGUUCUGGGCCGCACACGCGCUACACUGAAGGAGGCAGCGUGUACUCCUGGAUCGAAAGAUUUGGGUAACCCGCGAAUCUCCUUCGUGCUAGGGAUUGAGGUUUGCAAUUAUCCUUCAUGAACGAGGAAUUCCCAGUAAGUGCAAGUCAUAAGCUUGCGCUGACUACGUCCCUGCCCUUUGUACACACCGCCCGUCGCUACUACCGAUUGAAUGAUUUAGUGAGGACUCCGGACUGGGACCGAUGCGGCUUUCGGGCUGCGUCGGUAUUCUGGAAAGAUGUCCAAACUGUAUCAUUUAGAGGAAGUAAAAGUCGUAACA
Molecule: ribosomal RNA, 327 nt
Filed under: uncultured eukaryote
Lineage: Eukaryota
Description: partial 18S ribosomal RNA
Rfam family: Eukaryotic small subunit ribosomal RNA
Source: RNAcentral